This 222-nucleotide unclassified non-coding RNA is filed under the name Hevea brasiliensis (rubber tree). The record is from RNAcentral. Lineage: Eukaryota; Viridiplantae; Streptophyta; Magnoliopsida; Malpighiales; Euphorbiaceae.
GGGGUAAAUGCUUUGUGUGCAACACUCGACAGUACAUUGGAGCGAAGUGAGAAGAAAAAUAAUUUAUCAAUAUAAUUGAAUAAUUAAAAAAGAAAGAGAAGAAGAAACAAGCGGGUUGCACACCUUCACACAAAGAGGUUAUAACAUUUUCAAAUGGAAGAGGAUGGUCGGCCUGACAGAAGCGAUGUAUACUCUGAAGGCGGAUCGACAUAGUAUACAUAG